GGGGAAAUAAACAGAGCGCCAACUCAACAGUCAGCGCCCCUGUGCAUCGCAGCGCAACCUGCGAUGGGAGAGGUUUCUCUGCCUUCGUGGCCGCUUCCUUAACAGAUUCAUGAUUGGCAGGUGGCCUGCGAGCUCUCACAUGCGUGCGGUGGGCGCCCCAGGGACUGCCCCUCCUUUGGCAGGAGCCUGACGAGAGAAACCUGAUAAAUUUGCACAGGGACAGAUGCUCAGGGGAAAGGAAAGAGCUCUGCCUUGCACUUGUACAGAAAGGAAACAAGGCAGCAGAGGCAAGACCAAUGGAGAGUACGGCAGCAAGACAGAAAGGGGCAGAAGGCGACAGAACAUGCACGCUGGGGACAUGGAAAUUUCUAGAAAGAAGGCGCAAGCAGAAACAGGACACCGGCGAUAAAAAGUUCCCUUUGUAACCAGACCAGCUGAGACCAGUUACAAAGCCUACCCCAGGUAUCCGACCAGAUGACUUCAAAAAGACCUCAGGCUUCAUUAUAAUCUAAUUUCCAUGCUAAAUGACACUUCCACCAGUGUCAUGACGGUUGCCAGUCCCCGUGACAAUGACCAGAAGGAGCCAUAAAAGGACAAAAACAAGGGAGCCCCUCAUUCCAAGAAGUGUACCGCCCAGUUCCAGAAAAGACAUGGAUAUUCCUCCUCUUGCUUUUAAUGUCCAGCCAUCAUUAAGGAAACCCUAUAUGAUAACCCCCUCACCCCUCACUAAUUGAGAAGUUGAUUUGUGAGCCAAGCUCCCGCUUCUCAAUUCCAUGGCCAUCGAAUAAAGCCUGCACCACUUGAC
This 805-nucleotide long non-coding RNA is filed under the name Homo sapiens (human). RNAcentral describes it as "HSALNT0392857". The record is from RNAcentral. Lineage: Eukaryota; Metazoa; Chordata; Mammalia; Primates; Hominidae.